GUCCACGCUGUAAACGAUGAAUACUAGGUGUGGGGAUCGUAGGAUUUCCGUGCCGCAGUUAACACAAUAAGUAUUCCACCUGGGGAGUACGGCCGCAAGGUUGAAACUCAAAGGAAUUGACGGGAGCCCGCACAAGCAGUGGAGUAUGUGGUUUAAUUCGACGCAACGCGAAGAACCUUACCGGAGCUUGACAUCCCUCUGACCGACCGAGUAAUGUUGGUCUUUCCUUCGGGACAGAGGAGACAGGUGGUGCAUGGUUGUCGU
This 264-nucleotide ribosomal RNA is filed under the name uncultured bacterium. RNAcentral's name for it is "partial 16S ribosomal RNA". It matches the Rfam family "Bacterial small subunit ribosomal RNA", at positions 793 to 1055 of the family's 1533-position model. The record is from RNAcentral.